GACGAACGCUGGCGGCGUGCCUAAUACAUGCAAGUCGAACGAACUCUGGUAUUGAUUGGUGCUUGCAUCAUGAUUUGCAUUUGAGUGAGUGGCGAACUGGUGAGUAACACGUGGGAAACCUGCCCAGAAGCGGGGGAUAACACCUGGAAACAGAUGCUAAUACCGCAUAACAACUUGGACCGCAUGGUCCGAGUUUGAAAGAUGGCUUCGGCUAUCACUUUUGGAUAGUCCCGUGGCGUAUUAGCUAGAUGGUGGGGUAACGGCUCACCAUGGCAAUGAUACGUAGCCGACCUGAGAGGGUAAUCGGCCACAUUGGGACUGAGACACGGCCCAAACUCCUACGGGAGGCAGCAGUAGGGAAUCUUCCACAAUGGACGAAAGUCUGAUGGAGCAACGCCGCGUGAGUGAAGAAGGGUUUCGGCUCGUAAAACUCUGUUGUUAAAGAAGAACAUAUCUGAGAGUAACUGUUCAGGUAUUGACGGUAUUUAACCAGAAAGCCACGGCUAACUACGUGCCAGCAGCCGCGGUAAUACGUAGGUGGCAAGCGUUGUCCGGAUUUAUUGGGCGUAAAGCGAGCGCAGGCGGUUUUUUAAGUCUGAUGUGAAAGCCUUCGGCUCAACCGAAGAAGUGCAUCGGAAACUGGGAAACUUGAGUGCAGAAGAGGACAGUGGAACUCCAUGUGUAGCGGUGAAAUGCGUAGAUAUAUGGAAGAACACCAGUGGCGAAGGCGGCUGUCUGGUCUGUAACCGACGCUGAGGCUCGAAAGUAUGGGUAGCAAACAGGAUUAGAUACCCUGGUAGUCCAUACCGUAAACGAUGAAUGCUAAGUGUUGGAGGGUUUCCGCCCUUCGGUGCUGCAGCUAACGCAUUAAGCAUUCCGCCUGGGGAGUACGGCCGCAAGGCUGAAACUCAAAGGAAUUGACGGGGGCCCGCACAAGCGGUGGAGCAUGUGGUUUAAUUCGAAGCUACGCGAAGAACCUUACCAGGUCUUGACAUACUAUGCAAAUCUAAGAGAUUAGACGUUCCCUUCGGGGACAUGGAUACAGGUGGUGCAUGGUUGUCGUCAGCUCGUGUCGUGAGAUGUUGGGUUAAGUCCCGCAGCGAGCGCAACCCUUAUUAUCAGUUGCCAGCAUUAAGUUGGGCACUCUGGUGAGACUGCCGGUGACAAACCGGAGGAAGGUGGGGAUGACGUCAAAUCAUCAUGCCCCUUAUGACCUGGGCUACACACGUGCUACAAUGGAUGGUACAACGAGUUGCGAACUCGCGAGAGUAAGCUAAUCUCUUAAAGCCAUUCUCAGUUCGGAUUGUAGGCUGCAACUCGCCUACAUGAAGUCGGAAUCGCUAGUAAUCGCGGAUCAGCAUGCCGCGGUGAAUACGUUCCCGGGCCUUGUACACACCGCCCGUCACACCAUGAGAGUUUGUAACACCCAAAGUCGGUGGGGUAACCUUUUAGGAACCAGCCGCCUAAGGUGGGACAGAUGAUUAGGGUG
Molecule: ribosomal RNA, 1489 nt
Filed under: Lactiplantibacillus plantarum
Lineage: Bacteria; Bacillati; Bacillota; Bacilli; Lactobacillales; Lactobacillaceae
Description: bacterial SSU rRNA
Rfam family: Bacterial small subunit ribosomal RNA
Source: RNAcentral